RNAcentral lists this small RNA (822 nucleotides) under Histoplasma capsulatum. RNAcentral's name for it is "hypothetical RNA". The record is from RNAcentral. RNAcentral also lists the same sequence under 1 other name. Lineage: Eukaryota; Fungi; Ascomycota; Eurotiomycetes; Onygenales; Ajellomycetaceae.
UACAUACAAACCUAAUCAUUCACCUAUCCCCUAUCCUCAAUGCCCACUGUUUUUCGCUCCCCCCUUUCUUAACCACCCAAUGCAUCCACUUUACACAAUAUGCUGGUCGAAAUAUCCCCUUCUCGACCAAUGAGCUUCCAGCAGAUAGGCGUUCUCUAAUGUGUACUUCUUUCAUUUCUCUCUCUAGUGCGAACCCCUGACAACCACCUCCGUCUCCUCGUCCUCCUUCCCACCGCUACCCCACGACCUACGCCCGCACUUCCUCCUCCUCCGCCUCCUCUGCCUCCUCCUACUCCCGCUACUGCUGCUGCUACUGCUUGCUGCUUCUGAUGCUGGAGACGGUGUAGUGCGUCGCAGUGAGUGCCUAACGAAGCAAGAGCCGAAAUAAUGGAUCAAGUAGGCAAACACGGACAUGAAUGCGAGGAGUAGAAAGAUGAUUAGGACUAUGACAAUGUCCUUUUGCAUUGGAGGCAGUGGUGGUGGUGGUGGUUGAUGUUAUUGUUCUUGAAGUUACUUGAUCCGAUUUUGAAGACGCUGCGUAUCUGGUGAUUUAGCAUUCAUUCUUUUCUUAUAGGUCUUUUAAUAUUUCUUAUUUUUUAUUUUAUUUUAUUUUAUUUUAUUUUAUUUAUUUAUUUAUUUAAUUUUUUUUUUCGUUAACUUACUCCUUGUUUCACAAUACUCUCCCUUCUUGUCUGCGGUUUGUGUCUCUUAUGAAUUUAUUAAUCCCUUUUCCGCCCCGUUUUUAAUAGGAUGGAUGGUCUUUCGCUUUCUUAUACCUGCGAAGAAGAGGUUGAAUACCCCGUAACGACUGCUUGUGUGGUU